This 253-nucleotide ribosomal RNA is filed under the name uncultured bacterium. RNAcentral's name for it is "partial 16S ribosomal RNA". It matches the Rfam family "Bacterial small subunit ribosomal RNA", at positions 524 to 776 of the family's 1533-position model. The record is from RNAcentral.
UACGGAGGGUGCAAGCGUUAAUCGGAAUUACUGGGCGUAAAGCGUGCGCAGGCGGUUUUGUAAGUCUGUCGUGAAAGCCCCGGGCUCAACCUGGGAAUUGCGAUGGAGACUGCAAGGCUUGAAUCUGGCAGAGGGGGGUAGAAUUCCACGUGUAGCAGUGAAAUGCGUAGAGAUGUGGAGGAACACCGAUGGCGAAGGCAGCACCCUGGGUCAAGAUUGACGCUCAUGCACGAAAGCGUGGGGAGCAAACAGG